AUGACUCUGAAGAUGGAAGAUUGCCUAAACAAGGCCUCUUCAGUAAUGGUGACAUUUUGCAAAUAUGCUAGCUGGUAAAUAUUAUCAAUUUUACAGGACAUUUGACUAUCCUUGAAGGACCAUCUUUGCACAGUGUGUGUUCAUUGAGGUGAUCAUGGGUAUCUCGCAC
This is a long non-coding RNA of Haliotis rubra (blacklip abalone), 169 nucleotides long. RefSeq lists it as uncharacterized. The transcript has 3 exons. The record is from RefSeq and is a predicted model, not a curated record. Lineage: Eukaryota; Metazoa; Mollusca; Gastropoda; Lepetellida; Haliotidae.